GAUGAACGCUGGCGGCGUGCCUAAUACAUGCAAGUCGAGCGAACAGAUGAGGAGCUUGCUCCUCUGACGUUAGCGGCGGAAGGGUGAGUAACACGUGGAUAACCUACCUAUAAGACUGGGAUAACUUCGGGAAACCGGAGCUAAUACCGGAUAAUAUAUUGAACCGCAUGGUUCAAUAGUGAAAGACGGUUUUGCUGUCACUUAUAGACGGAUCCGCGCCGCAUUAGCUAGUUGGUAAGGUAACGGCUUACCAAGGCAACGAUGCGUAGCCGACCUGAGAGGGUGAUCGGCCACACUGGAACUGAGACACGGUCCAGACUCCUACGGGAGGCAGCAGUAGGGAAUCUUCCGCAAUGGGCGAAAGCCUGACGGAGCAACGCCGCGUGAGUGAUGAAGGUCUUCGGAUCGUAAAACUCUGUUAUUAGGGAAGAACAAAUGUGUAAGUAACUAUGCACGUCUUGACGGUACCUAAUCAGAAAGCCACGGCUAACUACGUG
Molecule: ribosomal RNA, 497 nt
Filed under: uncultured bacterium
Lineage: Bacteria
Description: partial 16S ribosomal RNA
Rfam family: Bacterial small subunit ribosomal RNA
Source: RNAcentral